Molecule: long non-coding RNA, 534 nt
Organism: Oncorhynchus tshawytscha (Chinook salmon)
Lineage: Eukaryota; Metazoa; Chordata; Actinopteri; Salmoniformes; Salmonidae
Source: Ensembl
GGGAGGAGUUAUUGCAAUCCUCAGGACGAGUGGCCAGUGCGAGAGCGAAAGAUGCCCCAAAAAAACGGAAAGGACAAUGAUAUUAGGUAGCGAACUAUUUCAAGUGAUAUUUAGCUAGUCCGGUUCAUUUGAUUGUUUUUGUGGAUAUGAAAACGUCCAGACAAAGGGAAACAGAGAAUGUGAAGCUCCGUUUUGCUUAAUCAACCCCUCUUACCGAAAGCUGAUAUAUGAUAUGGAAGAAGGGGUACAUUGAGGGAGAUCACACAAGCAAUACCUGCAUUCUCCAGCUCGUGGUAUCUACUGGGAUGCAUCAUAAGUGGAUAAAAUGCCAUGACUUCCAUGCAAUGGAGGGUUUACGCUUCUCUAUGGGUUCAUUGGGGAUUUCCAAGACCGUUCUGCCCAUUCAAGGCUUCGGUGCAGCGGUUCUAGGGCUGAUGCUGUUGGUGACAAUGAUCACAGCAGGUUCACCUGCAGCAGGAGCAGACCUGAGAAUAGAGGAGACAGACCAGAGUAGAGGAGAGCGUGGAGUGACAC